UACGGAGGGGGCUAGCGUUGUUCGGAAUCACUGGGCUUAAAGCGUGUGUAGGCGGGUCGUUAAGUACCUUGUGAAAUCCCACGGCUCAACCGUGGAACUGCUUGGUAUACUGGCGGAUCUUUGAGCCACCUAGGGGCGAGCGGAACAAGUGGUGGAGCGGUGAAAUGCGUAGAUAUCAGGAGGAACACCGAUGGCGAAGGCAGGUCUCUGGGCCGAUACUGACGCUGAGGAGCGAAAGCGUGGGGAGCGAACAGG
Molecule: ribosomal RNA, 255 nt
Filed under: uncultured bacterium
Lineage: Bacteria
Description: partial 16S ribosomal RNA
Rfam family: Bacterial small subunit ribosomal RNA
Source: RNAcentral